CAGGGGAGUAUGUGAGAAACAGGGGACUGGGUGAGCAAUGGGAGUAGGUGAGAAACAGGGGAGUAGGUGAGAAACAGGGGAGUAGGUGAGAAACAGGGGAGUGGGUGAGAAACAGGGGAGUGGGUGAGAAACAGGGGAGUGGGUGAGAAACAGGGGAGUGGGUGAGAAACAGGGGAGUGGGUGAGAAACAGGGGAGUAGGUGAGAAACAGGGGAGUAGGUGAGAAACAGGGGACUGGGUGAGCAAUGGGAGUGGGUGAGAAACAGGGGAGUGGGUUAGAAACAGGGGACUGGGUGAGCAAUGGGAGUGGGUGAGAAACAGGGGAGUGGGUGAGAAACAGGGGAGUAGGUGAGAAACAGGGGAGUAGGUGAGAAACAGGGGAGUAGGUGAGAAACAGGGGAGUGG
This is a long non-coding RNA of Oncorhynchus tshawytscha (Chinook salmon), 404 nucleotides long. Lineage: Eukaryota; Metazoa; Chordata; Actinopteri; Salmoniformes; Salmonidae. The record is from Ensembl.